RNAcentral lists this ribosomal RNA (484 nucleotides) under Brochis difluviatilis. RNAcentral describes it as "Corydoras difluviatilis partial 16S ribosomal RNA". It matches the Rfam family "Bacterial large subunit ribosomal RNA", at positions 1850 to 2543 of the family's 2925-position model. Lineage: Eukaryota; Metazoa; Chordata; Actinopteri; Siluriformes; Callichthyidae. The record is from RNAcentral.
AGGUCCUGCCUGCCCAGUGACUAUGUUAAACGGCCGCGGUAUUUUGACCGUGCAAAGGUAGCGCAAUCACUUGUCUUUUAAAUGAAGACCUGUAUGAAUGGUGAAACGAGGGCUUAACUGUCUCCCUUUUCAAGUCAAUGAAAUUGAUCUCCCCGUGCAGAAGCGGGGGUGUAAAUACAAGACGAGAAGACCCUUUGGAGCUUAAGAUUAAAAAUCAACUAUGUCAAAUAUUUAUUAAAUAGAACUGAAUAGUAACUGAUCGUAAUCUUCGGUUGGGGCGACCACGGAAUAAAAAUAAACUUCCACAUGGAAUGAGGACUAACCUUAAAACCAAGAAAAACAUUUCUAAGUCACAGAAUUUCUGACCACACAGAUCCGGCAAAUUGCCGAUCAAUGGACCAAGUUACCCUAGGGAUAACAGCGCAAUCCCCUUUUAGAGUCCCUAUCGACAAGGGGGUUUACGACCUCGAUGUUGGAUCAGGAC